GCAGAUGGUCAAAAGUAAACGCUAAUGUACUUUAGGAACAUAUUAAGCCUGAUUCUUUUUCAAAGUACAUUGAAAAUCAACUUCAAUUAUGAAAUUUUACAAAGCAAUCAAAAAUUAGAGCAGCAACCAAAACAUACUACAUUUCUUAAAUGUUCUAACUAGAACAAGCUCUAGAAAAGCCACAAUUCCUCCAGACACCUCCCCCAUACAUGACUUUAAAAAAAAAUCACCAAGGGGGAUGUGACUCCCACAUCAAAGUAUCGCUGCACAAUGCCGUUUUCAUAAGUAAGCCACAUCCUAAUUGUUUAACCUUCAUGGCUGUAUCUUAUGACUCCAAUUCUUUCUGAUUCUGCAAAGUUACUGUAAAGGACAUCAAUUCAAACUCACUGUUCUUUUCCACAAUGUUUAAAACUUGGUCGCUCAGAUUUGAUGACCAAAACUCAAAUCCCCUGAGAUGAUAUAACUGAUACAUGUGAGGGGUUCGAGAAGCUGUGAUUACACACAACAGACCAACAGUCCUUUUUGAAAGUAAAGCAAAGCCAGGCUUGGGGAUGUCCUCCCAGCACAAGUUACUCCCGUGAGAUCCAGGAGACCAGCCAUAUUGGAAAACACUUGUCAAUUACAGUUCUGACAAGUGUUCCCGAACACCGAUGCACGAAGCUACCGAGGUGUACACCAAGGGCUUCUGGGCCGCUUUGGGGGAGCUGUCUCCGGGAUAGAGUCGUCCUUCGAUCCGAAAGAACCGCGCGCGGAGGUAAGGAGGGUAGGGGAAAGGAGAGUUGAGGGGGAUGGUGAGGAGUUGGAAGCCGCUCAGUGGCGAGAGAGGGGCGCGGCGGCCGC
Molecule: long non-coding RNA, 840 nt
Filed under: Rattus norvegicus (Norway rat)
Lineage: Eukaryota; Metazoa; Chordata; Mammalia; Rodentia; Muridae
Description: long non-coding RNA NONRATT021940
Source: RNAcentral